AAGAAAGUGGCAGAGUGGUGGUGUGAAUGGCUUGAAACCAUUAAACGGGGGUUCGAUUCCCUCCUUUCUCG
This 71-nucleotide transfer RNA is filed under the name Benthalbella linguidens (longfin pearleye). RNAcentral describes it as "tRNA-Ser (UCN)". It matches the Rfam family "tRNA". Rfam says of the family: Transfer RNA (tRNA) molecules are approximately 80 nucleotides in length. Their secondary structure includes four short double-helical elements and three loops (D, anti-codon, and T loops). The record is from RNAcentral. Lineage: Eukaryota; Metazoa; Chordata; Actinopteri; Aulopiformes; Scopelarchidae.